CGGCACCUCAGGUCAGGCGGGGCUACCC
Molecule: ribosomal RNA, 28 nt
Filed under: Swartzia arborescens
Lineage: Eukaryota; Viridiplantae; Streptophyta; Magnoliopsida; Fabales; Fabaceae
Description: partial 26S ribosomal RNA
Source: RNAcentral